CUGGCGGCGCGCUUAAUACAUGCAAGUCGAACGAGAAGCCAGAGCUUGCUCUAGGUGGAAAGUGGCGAACGGGUGAGUAACACGUGAGAAACCUGCCCCAAAGAUUGGGAUAAGCCUUGGAAACGAGGUCUAAUACCAAAUACCUUCCUUUAACACAUGUUAAAAAGAAGAAAUGCUCCGGCGCUUUGGGAUGGUCUCGCGAUCUAUCAGCUUGUUGGGUGAGGUAACGGCUCACCAAGGCAUCGACGGAUAGCUGGUCUGAGAGGAUGUCCAGCCACAUUGGAACUGAGACACGGUCCAAACUCCUACGGGAGGCAGCAGUAGGGAAUCUUGCACAAUGAGGGAAACCUUGAUGCAGCGACGCCGCGUGCGGGACGAAGGCCCUAGGGUUGUAAACCGCUUUCAGUAGGGACGAAAGCGACGGUACCUACAGAAGAAGCCCCGGCCAACUAUGUG
RNAcentral lists this ribosomal RNA (456 nucleotides) under uncultured bacterium. RNAcentral's name for it is "bacterial SSU rRNA". It matches the Rfam family "Bacterial small subunit ribosomal RNA", at positions 36 to 507 of the family's 1533-position model. The record is from RNAcentral.